AUUGAACGCUGGCGGCAUGCUUUACACAUGCAAGUCGAACGGUAACAGGCCUUCGGGUGCUGACGAGUGGCGAACGGGUGAGUAAUGCAUCGGAACGUACCCAGAGGUGGGGGAUAACGCAGCGAAAGCUGUGCUAAUACCGCAUGUGAUCUGAGGAUGAAAGCGGGGGACCGAGCAGCAAUGUUUGGCCUCGCGCCUUUGGAGCGGCCGAUGUCGGAUUAGCUAGUUGGUGGGGUAAAGGCCUACCAAGGCGACGAUCCGUAGCUGGUCUGAGAGGACGACCAGCCACACUGGGACUGAGACACGGCCCAGACUCCUACGGGAGGCAGCAGUGGGGAAUUUUAGACAAUGGGCGCAAGCCUGAUCCAGCAAUGCCGCGUGCGGGAAGAAGGCCUUCGGGUUGUAAACCGCUUUUGGCAGGAACGAAACGGUGUCCGCUAAUACCGGGCGCUAAUGACGGUACCUGCAGAAUAAGCACCGGCUAACUACGUG
This 492-nucleotide ribosomal RNA is filed under the name uncultured bacterium. RNAcentral describes it as "partial 16S ribosomal RNA". It matches the Rfam family "Bacterial small subunit ribosomal RNA", at positions 29 to 507 of the family's 1533-position model. The record is from RNAcentral.